GACGAACGCUGGCGGCGUGCUUAACACAUGCAAGUCGAACGGAAAGGCCCUGCUUUUGUGGGGUGCUCGAGUGGCGAACGGGUGAGUAACACGUGAGUAACCUGCCCUUGACUUUGGGAUAACUUCAGGAAACUGGGGCUAAUACCGGAUAGGAGCUCCUGCUGCAUGGUGGGGGUUGGAAAGUUUCGGCGGUUGGGGAUGGACUCGCGGCUUAUCAGCUUGUUGGUGGGGUAGUGGCUUACCAAGGCUUUGACGGGUAGCCGGCCUGAGAGGGUGACCGGCCACAUUGGGACUGAGAUACGGCGCAGACGGCUACGGGAGGCAGCAGUGGGGAAUAUGGCGCAGUGGGCGGAAGCGUGAGGCAGCAACGCCGCGUGCGGGAUGACGGCCUUCGGGGUGUAAACCGCCGUGGCCUGUGACGAAGCGUGAGUGACGGUAAUGGGUAAAGAAGCACCGGCUAACUACGUG
RNAcentral lists this ribosomal RNA (468 nucleotides) under uncultured bacterium. Its description in RNAcentral is "partial 16S ribosomal RNA". It matches the Rfam family "Bacterial small subunit ribosomal RNA", at positions 28 to 507 of the family's 1533-position model. The record is from RNAcentral.